UACAGAGGGUGCAAGCGUUGUUCGGAAUUAUUGGGCGUAAAGCGCGUGCAGGCGGCUUGGUAAGUCGGAUGUGAAAUCCCGGAGCUCAACUCCGGAACUGCAUCCGAUACUGCCUCGCUAGAGUCCCGGAGAGGAUGGCGGAAUUUCCGGUGUAGAGGUGAAAUUCGUAGAUAUCGGAAGGAACACCAGCGGCGAAGGCGGCCAUCUGGACGGUGACUGACGCUCAGACGCGAAAGCGCGGGGAGCAAACAGG
This 253-nucleotide ribosomal RNA is filed under the name uncultured bacterium. Its description in RNAcentral is "partial 16S ribosomal RNA". It matches the Rfam family "Bacterial small subunit ribosomal RNA", at positions 524 to 776 of the family's 1533-position model. The record is from RNAcentral.